AGCCCUGAGGUGUUCCCACAUAUUAGAUUGCAAAUCUUAAGUCGCAGAGUAGAAUCUGCCGGGGCUU
This 67-nucleotide transfer RNA is filed under the name Sicydium altum. RNAcentral's name for it is "tRNA-Cys". The record is from RNAcentral. Lineage: Eukaryota; Metazoa; Chordata; Actinopteri; Gobiiformes; Gobiidae.